Molecule: long non-coding RNA, 121 nt
Organism: Eucalyptus grandis
Lineage: Eukaryota; Viridiplantae; Streptophyta; Magnoliopsida; Myrtales; Myrtaceae
Exons: 2
Source: RefSeq, a predicted model, not a curated record
GUUUUCUCAACUAUUUUCACAUCCUUCCAAGUAGAAAGCAACCAUUACCGAUCCUCAAUGCUGUCAAUGGAAUUAUCAAGCCUUGCAGAAUGACAUUACUUCUGGGACCUCCAGGCUCUGG